This 579-nucleotide ribosomal RNA is filed under the name bacterium enrichment culture. RNAcentral describes it as "bacterial SSU rRNA". It matches the Rfam family "Bacterial small subunit ribosomal RNA", at positions 21 to 595 of the family's 1533-position model. The record is from RNAcentral.
GGCUCAGAUUGAACGCUGGCGGCAUGCCUUACACAUGCAAGUCGAACGGCAGCGCGGGAGCAAUCCUGGCGGCGAGUGGCGAACGGGUGAGUAAUACAUCGGAACGUGCCCAAUCGUGGGGGAUAACGCAGCGAAAGCUGUGCUAAUACCGCAUACGAUCUACGGAUGAAAGCAGGGGAUCGCAAGACCUUGCGCGAAUGGAGCGGCCGAUGGCAGAUUAGGUAGUUGGUGAGGUAAAGGCUCACCAAGCCUUCGAUCUGUAGCUGGUCUGAGAGGACGACCAGCCACACUGGGACUGAGACACGGCCCAGACUCCUACGGGAGGCAGCAGUGGGGAAUUUUGGACAAUGGGCGCAAGCCUGAUCCAGCCAUGCCGCGUGCAGGAUGAAGGCCUUCGGGUUGUAAACUGCUUUUGUACGGAACGAAACGGUCUUUUCUAAUAAAGAAGGCUAAUGACGGUACCGUAAGAAUAAGCACCGGCUAACUACGUGCCAGCAGCCGCGGUAAUACGUAGGGUGCAAGCGUUAAUCGGAAUUACUGGGCGUAAAGCGUGCGCAGGCGGCAAUGUAAGACAGUUGU